GUCCCUUCGGGGAUAAUUGAUAAAACUGGAACGAUACAGAGAAGAUUAGCAUGGCCCUUGUGCAAGGAUGACACGCACAAAUCUAGAAAUGAUCCAAUAUUUU
Small nuclear RNA from Cucurbita moschata (crookneck pumpkin), 103 nucleotides. The record is from RefSeq and is a predicted model, not a curated record. Lineage: Eukaryota; Viridiplantae; Streptophyta; Magnoliopsida; Cucurbitales; Cucurbitaceae.